GCGCGCCCGUGCCCGCGCCUGCGCCUCAGUCCCUGCCCUGCACCGGGAGCGCGCUGAGGGGCGGGGCCGGGCGGGGCGGGGGGCGGGGCCUCGCCUCAGGCUGCGCCGCCGCCGCCUCAGAUAACGUCUCCGAGCCCCCAAAACAAUGAAUUGUAAAGAAAAAGACCCCGAGGUAGGUCACACGUUAGCUGCAAAGCCCACGUCUCCUGUCCGGUCGCAGAGUUCCCACACACCGGCCCCGCUGGUGAGGUCCCCGCAGCCCCGGUGUUCGUCAGGACGAGCUGGGCAGUGGCAGCUGCAGAGAUACAGGAACACACAGCACCCAGAUGACUGGAGGAUAAUAAGGAUUUGAUUUCAGUCUCACAUUAUGGAAAACAUCAACCUCUGCUGUGUCUCCGUGUCCAAGAUUCAAAUUGCACCUUCACAUAAAGCAGCGUGUCGCUGCUAUCAACUUUCCCAUGGAAAUAUCUUUCCAGAAUGGGUAUUUUCCAUCUCCUUUACUAAUCCCAUUUUCUCAACAUAGCAACGUAGAGGGAAUUCCCUGUUUUCUGAAGUGACUGCUUUCUAUGAAUCACCCCUUCCCUGACACAUUACUCAGCUCCUACUGGGGAGGCACGGGAUUCUCAGUUCCACAUCAUCUGGGCAGAAGGCUCUUACCAGGGUAAAAAAUAUGCACAAAAAACAACUACUUGCUUUUUUUUUUUUUCUAUUAUAUAUACAAGAAAAAAAAUACUAUGAAUAAUGAUACUAAAAAAGAUCUCAGUAGAAACAUAUAAAAUCUGCUGGCAGUAUAUGACUAUUGUAUGACUACUGACAGUUAACUUUUUUUUCACAGCUGUUAGUAUCAAGGUCUUAACUUUUAAAUAGGCAGCACCAUGCAACAGAGCCAUUUUAAAGGUUUGCAGUACCUUACAUGGAGUGACUUUUACUAGAAAAAUAGGUCAAAAUGGGUCAGUAAGAAUGAUUUCCACAAGAGGGAGUCUUUAAACGGAAAAUGAUCUGACAGUUUUGACCCAGUUACAGCCUGUUUUUCUGUUUAAAAAAAAAAAAAAAUUCCUUUAAGCAUUUGGCAUUUUCCCAAAUAUUAUUAACACAGACAAUAACAUUUCCUUAACAGGUUUUAAAAUUACGACUGUUUAAAAUACCAAACAAAAAUCCACAGUUUUUAUUUAACGUUCCAUCUUGGUAGUUGAACAGUGUUGGCUUUCAUGUUUUCACGAGAUGCAAGUCAUGACACGUAGUGUUAUCGGUGAUGCCCUGGGAAGGAUGACAGCUUUCACAGCCUGCAAAGGGUACGAGGAGUUGGCUUGCCUUCUAUCUUCUUUUCCAGUGAAAAUUCCAAGCAGUCCUGGCCCUUUUCACUCUGCAGACAUCAAAAGUGCAUGAAGUUACCACAGAGUGCCCUGGGCUUUCCUGUAGAGCUGAACAACACCAUCACCUGGUUCAGAACUGCUUGCCUAAAGCAGGAGGGCAUUGCACCUCCUCUGUGACUAACAGGACAAGCACUUCUCCCCUCCAGUGGCCACAGAAUGUCUUCAGGAUUAAGGCAACAACUCUCCAAAUCACUUUAAUCUGAGGACUGGGUUGUGGAGAACAUACUUUAAUCCUGAACAGAAUGAAAAGCAGUUUUGGAAUAUAAUUAUUGUUAUUUCUUAUUCGCAACAAAGAAGAUUAGAAGCCGUUAUCUAACCAAAAUGGUAUUUUUUCAUCUGAAACUCAAAUUUCAGUGAUUUACUCUCACACGCAUUUUAUAUAUAACUGUCAUCAUUUGUCAGAUGAGCUAAGAGGCAAUACAGAUUUGCUUUAAAGGGUCUGGUUUUGAAUCAUUUUGUUUGUUUUUAUCAAAUACUCCUCUAAAGUUUAAAGCGCACAAAAGAUGGAAGCAAGACAGAAGACUGGAUAAUAGCAUCUAUAUUUCUUCUUUGAUUCUUUUAUUCUUGUGAGUGCUUGAAAGCUUGCAGCAGUUUUUCAACAACAGUUAUUGAGAAAAGGCUGACUUCAGCUCAUUCAUUCUGAACAUCUGGGCAGAACCUAACAACAGUAAUUAAAACCCACUAAAUUGGUAGCAAUACCAAAUUGCUGGAGAUGAAAUACUGCAUAUCGUCCCACCCUUCUUUGUGGAUUUCUGCUAGGUCAAUACAGCCUGCUCUUGGAGAUCCAUUUCUACGUGACUCUUUCUGAAGUUUCUGUCAAGAAAGAACAGCAUCCAAAUUUUCUGGUCACAUAAGCAUUGCUCUUGGAUUUAUUUUUUUUUACCACAAACCCCAGGAAAAAGUAAAGACUCAGAGUUAAUACGGCUGAUAGGUUUGUGGAUUCUGCUCUUUUCAAAUUAUAUACAAUAAUCUAUAAUAUCUGCUUCCUUGUUUCAGAUUGUAUCCUUGUUUAAAUACUUUUAAAGUAGUGCUUAAAUUACAUGUUAACAUUUGUGAAGAAUGUGGAACUGAACUGUGCAGAAAGUUACAGUCAUUUCUUACUCCACUUUCUUUAUACUGAGGAGAGCAGUGAGAAGGCUUGCUUUAACCAUUCUACUUGGUCAGAGCCAUCUCCAGGCCAGGAAGUUUUGAUUCCCCCACAGCCUGCUCAAUCCUUGAACAAGAUGAGUUGUCAGCAACCUCAGCAUCACUCUGCUAUCCCCAGAGUCACUGGGAGCAAAACAGAGCUCUUGAUUCUUAAAGCUGGCCCCAGGAAACGCAGACAUCCAUGGUCUUUAAUAACUGAAGGUGCAGCUUACUUAGCAUGCAUAUUUCUGAGACUGGAGGAAAAAAGUCACCGUACCGUUCUUCAGGACUCUGGCUGUCCCUCGUGACACAGCUCAGCCCGAGGACCAACGGAUAAUGAAAAAAGAAGAACACUUACGAUGUUUUCAGAGCAGAAGGGAACUGUAAUAUCUGCUUUAUAGCUGUUCCUAAGAGAAAUGCUUUGUGUUCCCUUUGCAAUGUGCUGUUUUAAAAUACUCCAAAAAGUGAUUUCUUCUGCAAAGCUUCUCUGAAUAUUAUAUCCCUCCUGGUAAAAACUGUCAGCAAUAUAUUAUUUUAACCCAACAUUAGGUUCUUUUCCUACUAUUGUUCUAGACACUCUCUGAAAAUGUAACAUUACUUAUUAUAUUUUCAAAAUUCUCUACCUUAGAUAUAAUAAACUGUACAGGAUCUCCCUCUCACA
This is a non-coding RNA of Anas platyrhynchos (mallard), 3159 nucleotides long. The record is from RefSeq and is a predicted model, not a curated record. Lineage: Eukaryota; Metazoa; Chordata; Aves; Anseriformes; Anatidae.